GACGAACGCUGGCGGCGUGCCUAACACAUGCAAGUCGAACGGAACUGUUUUGAAAGAUUUCUUCGGAAUGAAUUUGAUUUAGUUUAGUGGCGGACGGGUGAGUAACGCGUGAGUAACCUGCCUUCAAGAGGGGGAUAACAUUCUGAAAAGAAUGCUAAUACCGCAUGACAUAUCGGAAUCACAUGGUUUUGAUAUCAAAGAUUUUAUCGCUUGAAGAUGGACUCGCGUCCGAUUAGUUAGUUGGUGAGGUAACGGCUCACCAAGACCGCGAUCGGUAGCCGGACUGAGAGGUUGAACGGCCACAUUGGGACUGAGACACGGCCCAGACUCCUACGGGAGGCAGCAGUGGGGGAUAUUGCGCAAUGGGGGCAACCCUGACGCAGCAACGCCGCGUGAAGGAUGAAGGUUUUCGGAUUGUAAACUUCUUUUAUUAAGGACGAAAAUUGACGGUACUUAAUGAAUAAGCUCCGGC
Molecule: ribosomal RNA, 472 nt
Filed under: uncultured bacterium
Lineage: Bacteria
Description: bacterial SSU rRNA
Rfam family: Bacterial small subunit ribosomal RNA
Source: RNAcentral